UACGUAGGGGGCAAGCGUUGUCCGGAAUCAUUGGGCGUAAAGAGCUCGUAGGUGGUUCGGUAAGUCAGGUGUGAAACCUCCAGGCUCAACCUGGAGACGCCACUUGAUACUGCUGUGACUGGAGUCCGGUAGGGGAGCGUGGAAUUCCUGGUGUAGCGGUGAAAUGCGCAGAUAUCAGGAGGAACACCAGUGGCGAAGGCGGUUGCCUGGGGCUUUGCUGACGCUGACGCGCGAAAGCGUGGGGAGCGAUCCGG
RNAcentral lists this ribosomal RNA (254 nucleotides) under uncultured bacterium. Its description in RNAcentral is "partial 16S ribosomal RNA". It matches the Rfam family "Bacterial small subunit ribosomal RNA", at positions 524 to 776 of the family's 1533-position model. The record is from RNAcentral.